UACGGAGGGUGCGAGCGUUAUCCGGAAUUACUGGGUUUAAAGGGUGCGUAGGCGGCUAUGGAAGUCAGGAGUGAAAGUUUGCGGCUCAACCGUAAAAUUGCUUUUGAUACUGCAUGGCUGGAAUCAGGAUGAGGUCAGCGGAAUGUGGCAUGUAGCGGUGAAAUGCAUAGAUAUGCCAUAGAACACCAAUUGCGAAGGCAGCUGGCUAGACCUGUAUUGACGCUGAGGCACGAAAGCGUGGGGAGCGAACAGG
This 253-nucleotide ribosomal RNA is filed under the name uncultured bacterium. RNAcentral describes it as "partial 16S ribosomal RNA". It matches the Rfam family "Bacterial small subunit ribosomal RNA", at positions 524 to 776 of the family's 1533-position model. The record is from RNAcentral.